GGAGGUUCUCGGGUGAUGCACCCUGGAGUCGGGCUCCCUCCUCUCUGUUUCUGGCUGCAUCACCCUAGAACCUCA
Molecule: non-coding RNA, 75 nt
Organism: Myotis lucifugus (little brown bat)
Lineage: Eukaryota; Metazoa; Chordata; Mammalia; Chiroptera; Vespertilionidae
Source: Rfam